AGAAUCAACGCUGGCGGCGUGCCUAACACAUGCAAGUCGAACGAGAAAGUGGAGCAAUCCAUGAGUAAAGUGGCGACCGGGUGAGUAACACGUGACUAACCUACCUUCGAGUGGGGGAUAACAUCGGGAAACCGAUGCUAAUACCGCAUAACAUCGCAAGAUCAAAGCAGCAAUGCGCUGGAAGAGGGGGUCGCGGCUGAUUAGCUAGUUGGCGGGUAACGGCCCACCAAGGCGAAGAUCGGUAGCCGGCCUGAGAGGGCGCACGGCCACACUGGAACUGAAACACGGUCCAGACUCCUACGGGAGGCAGCAGUGGGGAAUUUUGCGCAAUGGGGGAAACCCUGACGCAGCGACGCCGCGUGGAGGAUGAAGCCCCUUGGGUGUAAACUCCUUUCGACCAAGACGAUAAUGACGGUACUGGUGGAAGAAGCACCGGCUAACUCUGCGCCAGCAGCCGC
RNAcentral lists this ribosomal RNA (458 nucleotides) under uncultured bacterium. Its description in RNAcentral is "SSU rRNA". It matches the Rfam family "Bacterial small subunit ribosomal RNA", at positions 26 to 518 of the family's 1533-position model. The record is from RNAcentral.